AUUAGGAUACUUUUUUAAUGAAGAUAUUAAAAUAAGAAGUUUGUUCAACUUUUAAAUUCCUACAUGAUCUGAGUUUAGACCGAUGAGAAUCAGGUUGGAUUCUAUCUUAAUAAAAAACAAAUUUUAUUUAGUACGAAAGGAAUUUUAAAAUCUAAUUUUUUAGUAUUAUUUAUUUUAUUUGCAUCAAUUUUUGUAAUU
This 198-nucleotide ribosomal RNA is filed under the name Rhipicephalus microplus (southern cattle tick). RNAcentral describes it as "partial 16S ribosomal RNA". Lineage: Eukaryota; Metazoa; Arthropoda; Arachnida; Ixodida; Ixodidae. The record is from RNAcentral.